GCGGGGGUAGCUCAGUGGUAGAGCUCCUGCCUUCCAAGCAGGAGGCCGCGGGUUCGAAUCCCGUCCCCCGCU
Molecule: transfer RNA, 72 nt
Filed under: Chloroflexota bacterium
Lineage: Bacteria; Bacillati; Chloroflexota
Description: Chloroflexi bacterium tRNA-Gly
Rfam family: tRNA
About the family: Transfer RNA (tRNA) molecules are approximately 80 nucleotides in length. Their secondary structure includes four short double-helical elements and three loops (D, anti-codon, and T loops).
Source: RNAcentral